AUGCAUUCCAGAAACCAAGAUCAUGCAGAUAGACUAUUUUACAGAUCAAAAAGUUUCGCUUCGACAAGGCCCAGGAAUCACGCAAUCUCUCGCCCCGGCAUAGCCAACCUCAAAGACAGCGAUGCUAACACAGGCUUCUUCCACCGGCAGUGCUCGUUCAGACGACAGAAGAACCGCAUCUUUAGCCUCACUGCGGAUGGCAGGGUGCUCACGGACCACACUGAGAUGGAGCAGGCAGCCUUCCUCCAUCACGACGCCCUGCUGGGCACCGCCGCCGACCAGGAGCACUCCCUGGACCUGUCACAGCUCAUUGAACCGACAGACCUUGCCGACCUUGACGAACCGUUCAGCACGGAGGAGAUCUGGGAGGCUGUCAAGCGCCUCCCCGCGCACAAGGCGCCAGGACCAGACAGGUUCACGGCGGAAUUCCUUCGUGCGUGCUGGAGCAUCGUCAGGCAGGACUUUCUCGACGUGUUCAGCAGCUCUAUGACCUGCGAGGAAGAGGGUUCUGCAAGCUGA
Molecule: ribosomal RNA, 519 nt
Filed under: Triticum aestivum (bread wheat)
Lineage: Eukaryota; Viridiplantae; Streptophyta; Magnoliopsida; Poales; Poaceae
Description: partial small subunit ribosomal RNA
Source: RNAcentral